GGGCCCGCACAAGCGGUGGAGCAUGUGGUUUAAUUCGAUGAUACGCGAGGAACCUUACCAGGGCUUAAAUGGGAGAUGACAGGGGCAGAGACGCCCUUUUCUUCGGACAUCUUUCAAGGUGCUGCAUGGUUGUCGUCAGCUCGUGCCGUGAGGUGUCAGGUUAAGUCCUAUAACGAGCGCAACCCCUACCGUUAGUUGCCAGCGAUUCAAGUCGGGGACUCUAACGGGACUGCCGGUGCAAACCGUGAGGAAGGUGGGGACGACGUCAAAUCAUCACGGCCCUUACGUCCUGGGCUACACACGUGCUACAAUGGUCGGUACAGAGGGAAGCUACCCCGUAAGGGGAUGCGGAUCUAUAAAACCGAUCGUAGUCCGGAUUGCAGUCUGCAACUCGACUGCAUGAAGCUGGAAUC
RNAcentral lists this ribosomal RNA (413 nucleotides) under uncultured bacterium. RNAcentral's name for it is "bacterial SSU rRNA". It matches the Rfam family "Bacterial small subunit ribosomal RNA", at positions 917 to 1333 of the family's 1533-position model. The record is from RNAcentral.